RNAcentral lists this ribosomal RNA (497 nucleotides) under uncultured bacterium. RNAcentral's name for it is "partial 16S ribosomal RNA". It matches the Rfam family "Bacterial small subunit ribosomal RNA", at positions 28 to 507 of the family's 1533-position model. The record is from RNAcentral.
GACGAACGCUGGCGGCGUGCCUAAUACAUGCAAGUAGAACGCUGAAGAGAGGAGCUUGCUCUUCUUGGAUGAGUUGCGAACGGGUGAGUAACGCGUAGGUAACCUGCCUUGUAGCGGGGGAUAACUAUUGGAAACGAUAGCUAAUACCGCAUAACAAUGGAUGACACAUGUCAUUUAUUUGAAAGGGGCAAUUGCUCCACUACAAGAUGGACCUGCGUUGUAUUAGCUAGUAGGUGAGGUAAUGGCUCACCUAGGCGACGAUACAUAGCCGACCUGAGAGGGUGCUCGGCCACACUGGGACUGAGACACGGCCCAGACUCCUACGGGAGGCAGCAGUAGGGAAUCUUCGGCAAUGGGGGCAACCCUGACCGAGCAACGCCGCGUGAGUGAAGAAGGUUUUCGGAUCGUAAAGCUCUGUUGUAAGUCAAGAACGGGUGUGAGAGUGGAAAGUUCACACUGUGACGGUAGCUUACCAGAAAGAGACGGCUAACUACGUG